Molecule: long non-coding RNA, 397 nt
Organism: Rhea pennata
Lineage: Eukaryota; Metazoa; Chordata; Aves; Rheiformes; Rheidae
Exons: 2
Source: RefSeq, a predicted model, not a curated record
UGGCUUUGCCUCCAGAGGCUCGCUAGUUAUUAGAGAGGAUAUAUACACACUGCAGACUACACAUACAUCUGUGGAAUGAUAAUAACAUAUAAAAAAACACUCAAGUCAUAUACCAUAAGUUACAACGUCUGUUUAUUUAAAGUCUCAAGAAGAUAACUGGAUAAAGGUGAAUGAUGUGGCUGUCCAAAAUUGACAGGAAGAUCUACAGAGCAGAAGAAAGCAACUGAGACUACCAGGGAAGAGCCAGCUCUGUUUAUUUCUACAAAAAGGCUCCAGCCUUCUUGAUAUGAACUGUAAUCACUGCCCAUGUAGUGUCAUCAGAAAUCUCACCAGGCAAAAUGUAGCUUGCAUCAAAUCAAAGCACUAAAAUUACCCUGGUUUGUUCUUUUUUGAAUAA